RNAcentral lists this ribosomal RNA (1788 nucleotides) under Triticum aestivum (bread wheat). RNAcentral describes it as "partial small subunit ribosomal RNA". Lineage: Eukaryota; Viridiplantae; Streptophyta; Magnoliopsida; Poales; Poaceae. The record is from RNAcentral.
AUGGGGCGGUGGUGUUCGCCGGCGUCGGCGGAGCUGCUCCUGCUGGGCGGUGCCCUCGUCGCCGCCUCCUUCUACGCCGGCACCCUCUUCCAGUCCUCCGCCUCCCCCGCGCUCAUAUUGCCCCCUUCCGUCUCCCGGUCGCCCGGUUCAUCCAAUCCCCAAGAUGCUUCAGAGUUCACAAACAAAGUUGGUGUUACUUAUCGAACGGCGUCAAUCUCAGUUCCUGAUUAUGGACUUGAUGUGUGCCCUUUGGAAUACAACGAGUAUAUUCCCUGUCAUGAUGCCGCCUAUAUAAGAAGCUUAAGGAACCUGGAUAGAUCUAGACACGAGGAUCUUGAAGCUAAAUGCCCUCCACGAGAGGAGAGCUUGUUCUGUUUGGUGCCCCCACCAAAUGACUACAAGAUACCGAUAAGAUGGCCAACAAGUCGGGACUAUGUAUGGCGUAGUAAUGUGAACCAUUCACACCUUUCUGAGGUAAAAGGAGGACAGAAUUGGGUGCAUGAGAAUGGUAAGCUUUGGUGGUUUCCUGGCGGUGGCACUCACUUCAAGCGUGGUGCAUCAGAAUACAUAGAGAGGCUAGGAAAUAUGACAACCAAUAGUACUGGUGAUCUCCGUUCCGCAGGAGUUGUUCAAGUUUUGGAUGUUGGAUGCGGUGUUGCCAGCUUCUCUGCUUAUCUUCUUCCCCUAGAUAUUCAUACUAUGUCAUUCGCGCCAAAAGAUGGCCAUGAGAAUCAAAUCCAGUUUGCUUUAGAGCGUGGGAUCGGUGCAAUGAUCUCUGUGUUGGCCACAAAGCAAUUGCCAUAUCCUGGAAAUUCAUUUGAAAUGGUUCAUUGCUCCCGAUGUCGUGUUGACUGGCAUGAAAAUGAUGGAAUAUUGCUCAAAGAGGUCGAUCGUCUUUUGCGACCUAAUGGAUAUUUUGUAUAUUCUGCCCCACCAGCUUAUAGAAAAGAUAAAGAUUUCCCUAUUAUUUGGGAGAAGCUAAUUAAUAUCACAUCAGCAAUGUGUUGGAAGCUUAUUGCUAAGCAUGUUCAGACUGCUAUAUGGAUCAAACCUGAAGAUGAAUCUUGCCGACAGAAAAAUGCUGAUACGGGGAUCCUGAAUAUCUGUGACCCCAGUGACACUUCUUCAUGGCAAGCUCCAUUAAUGAACUGUAUUCGGUUGAACACGGACCAAUCAAAAAUUCAGAAACUGCCUUCCAGACCUGAACGCCUGUUAUUUUAUUCGAGGAGUUUGGAAAUAAUAGGAGUUACUCCAGAGAAGUUUGAGAAUAAUAACCAGUUCUGGCGGGACCAGGUUCGCAAGUACUGGUCAUUUCUUGGUGUUGAAAAGACUAGCAUACGGAAUAUCAUGGACAUGAAUGCUAAUUAUGGUGGAUUUGCUAUGGCACUAAGCACUGACCCUGUCUGGAUUAUGAAUAUAGUACCCUAUACAACCAUCAACACACUGCCUGCUAUCUAUGACCGGGGGUUAAUUGGUUCCUACCAUGACUGGUGUCAGCCAUUCUCAACAUAUCCUAGGUCAUAUGAUUUGCUACAUGCUUUCCACCUCUUUUCACAUUAUCAAGGUCAUGUAGGAGGUUGCUUAUUGGAAGAUAUCAUGCUAGAAAUAGAUCGCAUCAUUCGUCCACAGGGUUUUAUCAUUAUCAGAGAUGAGAAUACCACUCUCUCAAGAAUCAGUGAUCUCGCACCAAAGUUCCUAUGGGAUGUCACCACUCACACGUUGGAAAAUGAGGAAAACAGGCCGGAGCAGGUGUUGAUUUGUAGGAAGAAAUUCUGGGCUAUAGUUUGA